This 253-nucleotide ribosomal RNA is filed under the name uncultured bacterium. RNAcentral describes it as "partial 16S ribosomal RNA". It matches the Rfam family "Bacterial small subunit ribosomal RNA", at positions 524 to 776 of the family's 1533-position model. The record is from RNAcentral.
UACGUAGGCAGCAAGCGUUGUUCGGAGUUACUGGGCGUAAAGGGUGUGUAGGCGGUCGUUUAAGUUUGGUGUGAAAUCUCCCGGCUCAACUGGGAGGGUGCGCCGAAUACUGAAUGACUAGAGUGCGGGAGAGGAGAGUGGAAUUCCUGGUGUAGCGGUGAAAUGCGUAGAUAUCAGGAGGAACACCGGUGGUGUAGACGGCUCUCUGGACCGUAACUGACGCUGAGACACGAAAGCGUGGGUAGCAAACAGG